CAUUGAUUCGACCAUUUUUUUGUAAUCGCCGGGACAGUUUUUCAAUACUCGCACGGAUUCUUCCUUUUCCCGGUACUCUUCCGGAUUCUACUAUUUUUCGGUACUCACACUGAUUCAACCCUUUUCCGGUACUCGUCAGGACAAUUUUUUCAAUACUCGGAUGGAUUCUACCUUUUCCCGGUACUCGCCCGGAUUCUAUCAUUUUUCGGUACUCACAUUGAUUCAACCAUUUUUUU
This 236-nucleotide long non-coding RNA is filed under the name Vitis vinifera (wine grape). RNAcentral describes it as "long non-coding RNA (VVIN_LNC008219)". The record is from RNAcentral. Lineage: Eukaryota; Viridiplantae; Streptophyta; Magnoliopsida; Vitales; Vitaceae.